CAGCACAGCCAACAGCAAAACAGCCAACAACAGCACAGCCAACAACAGCACAGCCAACAGCAGCACAGCCUCAAGAGCUGCCGCGCACGGGGGCUACUGCUUCGCUUCUGCCUCCAGAUUGUGCACAGCCCUCUCCGAGGACUACCAGGGAAGGGGGUUCCAGCAGAAGGUCCUGCCUGGCUGAGGUGACAUGACGCAAAGCCACCAUGGUCGCAUCCUGUGAGAGGGACCCGUGUGGCACCACAGGCAAAAGCAGGUCUCUCUGGACAAUGGCAGUCCCACCCCCGGGGCGACCACGAGGAUUCUCAGUUUAUCCGUGUGCUUGGAACAAUGCCUAGUGAUUGCUAGUGCCACGCGGUUCUUACUUUACUUCCUACUUUCAGAGCUUGAAAUGAACUUGAGAUAACCUAAAAAGACACCAUCAAAAAACAGGUUAAGGAGACGAAAGGGGAAAUGAAAACCACAGCGAGGAAACAAGGAAGAUAUGAAAAGGGGCCAAAACCAAGGUCUGGAAAUACCUGAAGGAAAAGAUUUCACUGCAAUGGAUGGAAAUGUGACUCUCAGGACUUAGCUGAGGAGAAACAGUGGCCCUGAAGACCAAGCCCGGUAGGCAGCCCCGACGCAGCAGACAGAGGGGGACAUCGAGGUGGAGAAGACGCAGCAGGCAGAGGGGGACAUCGAGGUGGAGAAGACGCAGCAGGCAGAGGGGGACAUCGAGGUGAGAAGACGCAGCAGGCAGAGGGGGACAUCGAGAUGGAGAAGACGCAGCAGGCAGAGGGGAACAUCGAGGUGGAGAAGACGCAGCAGGCAGAGGGGGACAUCGAGGUGAGAAGACGCAGCAGGCAGAGGGGGACAUCGAGGUGGAGAAGACGCAGCAGGCAGAGGGGGACAUCGAGGUGGAGAAGACGCAGCAGGCAGAGGGGGACAUCGAGGUGGAGAAGACGCAGCAGACAGAGGGGGACAUCGAGGUGGAGAAGACGCAGCAGGCAGAGGGGGACAUCGAGGUGGAGAAGACGCAGCAGGCAGAGGGGGACAUCGAGGUGGAGAAGA
RNAcentral lists this long non-coding RNA (1050 nucleotides) under Homo sapiens (human). Its description in RNAcentral is "HSALNT0392285". The record is from RNAcentral. Lineage: Eukaryota; Metazoa; Chordata; Mammalia; Primates; Hominidae.